AUACCUUUCUCGGCCUUUUGGCUAAGAUCAAGUGUAGUAUCUGUUCUUAUCAGUUUAAUAUCUGAUAUGUGGACCAAUGGUCCACACGAUAUUAAAUUACUUUUUUUAGGGAGAGAGUCUGCCUAGUAGCUUGCUGCUUGGGCUCUCAAGUGUCGCCUUUGCGUUGCACUAUUUUUGAAAUUUUCAAAGGUUGAGCUGCCACUU
Molecule: small nuclear RNA, 204 nt
Filed under: Medicago truncatula (barrel medic)
Lineage: Eukaryota; Viridiplantae; Streptophyta; Magnoliopsida; Fabales; Fabaceae
Description: sRNA gene23817
Rfam family: U2 spliceosomal RNA
About the family: U2 is a small nuclear RNA (snRNA) component of the spliceosome (involved in pre-mRNA splicing).
Source: Rfam by way of RNAcentral